GAUGAACGCUGGCGGCGUGCUUAACACAUGCAAGUCGAACGGGAAACCUUUUAUUGAAGCUUCGGCAGAUUUAGCUGGGUUCUAGUGGCGGACGGGAGAGUAACGCGUGGGUAACCUGACCUAUACAGGGGGAUAACAACCAGAAAUGGUUGCUAAUACCGCAAAAUCGCACAGGGCCGCAUGGUCCGGUGUGAAAAACUCCGGUGGUAUAGGAUGGACCCGCGUGGGAAUAGCCAGGUGGCAGGGUAACGGCCUACCAAAGCGACGAUCCAUCGCCGGCCGGGGAUGGUGAGCGGCCACAUUGCUACUGUGCCACGGCCCCGACUCCUACGGGAGGCAGCGGUGGGGAAUAUUGCACGAUGGGGACAAUCCUGAUGCAGCGCCGCCUCGUGAAGGAAGAAGUAUGGCGUGAUGUAAACUUCUAGCAGCAGAGAAGAUAGUGACGGUACCUGACGAAGAAGCCCCGGCUAACUACGUG
Molecule: ribosomal RNA, 478 nt
Filed under: uncultured bacterium
Lineage: Bacteria
Description: partial 16S ribosomal RNA
Rfam family: Bacterial small subunit ribosomal RNA
Source: RNAcentral